CCUACGGGAGGCAGCAGUGGGGAAUAUUGCACAAUGGGCGCAAGCCUGAUGCAGCGACGCCGCGUGAGGGAUGACGGCCUUCGGGUUGUAAACCUCUUUCAGUAGGGAAGAAGCGUAAGUGACGGUACCUGCAGAAGAAGCGCCGGCUAACUACGUGCCAGCAGCCGCGGUAAUACGUAGGGCGCAAGCGUUAUCCGGAAUUAUUGGGCGUAAAGAGCUCGUAGGCGGUUUGUCGCGUCUGCCGUGAAAGUCCGGGGCUCAACUCCGGAUCUGCGGUGGGUACGGGCAGACUAGAGUGAUGUAGGGGAGACUGGAAUUCCUGGUGUAGCGGUGAAAUGCGCAGAUAUCAGGAGGAACACCGAUGGCGAAGGCAGGUCUCUGGGCAUUAACUGACGCUGAGGAGCGAAAGCAUGGGGAGCGAACAGGAUUAGAUACCCUGGUAGUCCAUGCCGUAAACGUUGGGCACUAGGUGUGGGGGACAUUCCACGUUUUCCGCGCCGUAGCUAACGCAUUAAGUGCCCCGCCUGGGGAGUACGGCCGCAAGGCUAAAACUCAAAGAUAGUCGCGNGNGAGNGCGACGACGACGACGACGGAGGAGAGG
Molecule: ribosomal RNA, 601 nt
Filed under: uncultured bacterium
Lineage: Bacteria
Description: bacterial SSU rRNA
Rfam family: Bacterial small subunit ribosomal RNA
Source: RNAcentral